GGUUCGGCUUUGCGCAGCGGACGUGUCACGAAUCGGGUCAGACCGGGAACGGAGCAGCCCUAAGAGAUAUUGUCCGGGUGCCGUGAAUGUCCGGGCCUCC
RNAcentral lists this signal recognition particle RNA (100 nucleotides) under Planctomycetota bacterium. Its description in RNAcentral is "Planctomycetes bacterium signal recognition particle sRNA small type". It matches the Rfam family "Bacterial small signal recognition particle RNA". Rfam says of the family: The signal recognition particle (SRP) is a universally conserved ribonucleoprotein involved in the co-translational targeting of proteins to membranes. Archaeal SRP consists of a 7S RNA and homologues of the eukaryotic SRP19 and SRP54 proteins. Lineage: Bacteria; Pseudomonadati; Planctomycetota. The record is from RNAcentral.